UGGAUGAUGUGGUUUAAUCGAUGCAACGCGAAAACCUUACCCACCUUUGACAUGUACGGAAUCCUUUAGAGAUAGAGGAGUGCUCGAAAGAGAGCCGUAACACAGGUGCUGCAUGGCUGUCGUCAGCUCGUGUCGUGAGAUGUUGGGUUAAGUCCCGCAACGAGCGCAACCCUUGUCAUUAGUUGCUACAUUCAGUUGGGCACUCUAAUGAGACUGCCGGUGACAAACCGGAGGAAGGUGGGGAUGACGUCAAGUCCUCAUGGCCCUUAUAGGUGGGGCUACACACGUCAUACAAUGGAUGGUACAAAGGGUCGCCAACCCGCGAGGGGGAGCCAAUCCCAUAAAGCCAUUCGUAGUCCGGAUCGCAGUCUGCAACCCGCCUGCAUGAAGAUGGAGUUGCUAGUAACCGCAGGUCAGCUAUACUGCGGUGAAUACGUUCCCGGGGCUU
RNAcentral lists this ribosomal RNA (448 nucleotides) under uncultured Acidovorax sp. Its description in RNAcentral is "bacterial SSU rRNA". It matches the Rfam family "Bacterial small subunit ribosomal RNA", at positions 933 to 1382 of the family's 1533-position model. Lineage: Bacteria; Pseudomonadati; Pseudomonadota; Betaproteobacteria; Burkholderiales; Comamonadaceae. The record is from RNAcentral.